Molecule: long non-coding RNA, 315 nt
Organism: Liolophura sinensis
Lineage: Eukaryota; Metazoa; Mollusca; Polyplacophora; Chitonida; Chitonidae
Exons: 3
Source: RefSeq, a predicted model, not a curated record
CUGUCCAGACGGAGACGGCCAACGGUUAUCCAGAAACCGAAAAGGGAUAUCCAGAAACGGACCAUUCACCUAGGGAAUCCCACAGUUUGUCGUGUUGACACCCAUCACACAUUUCAACUCUUUGAUGGAGGAAUACACAUAAAACACGCUGCACCAAAGGGCCAAGCAAGAUAUGGGGAGAUAUUGCUCGGUCCAGUAGCCAGGACUUUCGCUGCUAUCCAAUGCGUACUGGAGACGUACUUUAAAAUGAUGAAUGUUUCAGCAAAAGCUCUCAAAUGGACUUUCGCGGCAAACGAAUGUGGUACUCCCAAGUUU